AGUAUUUGGUCUCUUCUGGAGAAUCACCCAUGAUUGUAGCUGACUGUAUUCCAAGAUUCGUGAGCCUUGGCACCUGAAUCAGCCGAGCCAGGGUGGUGUGCCUGGACUUCACAGAUUGCCCUCAGAUGAACUCAGCUCCUGGCCUUCCUGUCUGGAGCCUGAGUGCACCUCCAGGUGAGGAAGUUUCUCACUGUGAGUCAGCUCACCUUGCCCUCCAGACCUGCCUAAAAACUCCAUAUUGGAUGUUGAGCCGUGAAUAAAUUCCUGUCUGCUGCCACGUGCUGAGUCACCGGGGACUCCUCACUGACUCCUGCCUGCCUUUUGGGCUGGGGGGCUUGCCCUAGGGCCGAGAGGAAGCAGCGGCCAGCGGGAUAACCACACCUUCAGGCAGAGGCACUUCUGAGAAGCCGUCCUCCAUCCUCGGGG
Balaenoptera ricei (Rice's whale) is the source of this 426-nucleotide long non-coding RNA. RefSeq lists it as uncharacterized. The record is from RefSeq and is a predicted model, not a curated record. The transcript has 3 exons. NCBI's taxonomy places the organism in Eukaryota, Metazoa, Chordata, Mammalia, Artiodactyla, Balaenopteridae.